RNAcentral lists this ribosomal RNA (484 nucleotides) under uncultured bacterium. RNAcentral describes it as "partial 16S ribosomal RNA". It matches the Rfam family "Bacterial small subunit ribosomal RNA", at positions 30 to 507 of the family's 1533-position model. The record is from RNAcentral.
AUUGAACGCUGGCGGCAGGCCUAACACAUGCAAGUCGAGCGGAUGAAGGGAGCUUGCUCCUGGAUUCAGCGGCGUAUGGGUGAGUAAUGCCUAGGAAUCUGCCUGGUAGUGGGGGAUAACGUCCGGAAACGGGCGCUAAUACCGCAUACGUCCUGAGGGAGAAAGUGGGGGAUCUUCGGACCUCACGCUAUCAGAUGAGCCUAGGUCGGAUUAGCUAGUUGGUGGGGUAAAGGCCUACCAAGGCGACGAUCCGUAACUGGUCUGAGAGGAUGAUCAGCCACACUGGAACUGAGACACGGUCCAGACUCCUACGGGAGGCAGCAGUGGGGAAUAUUGGACAAUGGGCGAAAGCCUGAUCCAGCCAUGCCGCGUGUGUGAAGAAGGUCUUCGGAUUGUAAAGCACUUUAAGUUGGGAGGAAGGGCAGUAAGUUAAUACCUUGCUGUUUUGACGUUACCAACAGAAUAAGCACCGGCUAACUUCGUG